CAGUAAACUAAGUAUUUCUGUCCCUGUACAUCAAUACAUAGUUUUUUUUGUAAAGAUAGUAUAUAAGUGUUUCUGUCCAUCAAUACUCACUAUUUCCCCUAAAGUUCAAAAUUAUAUAAGUGUUUCUAUCCUUGUACUGUAGUACAUCAAUACUUACACUUUCUUCUAAAGGUAGUGUUUUAUAGAAGGUAGUGGAAUUAGUUAUCAUGUACAAGAUGUAUUUACGGGAUAUUUUUAACUCCAUGUUAUACAUGUAUGUUUGUCUCCUCAUUCAAAGGGCUUCCAAAGAAGAGGUGGACCCAAAGGAGACAUUGUAGACUCCGACGUGGAGGGGCUAGCUGGUGAGAAAGGGGAAAAGGUAUGUCUGGAGAAUCUGGCACUAAAGGACAGCACAGAGUGAGGAGACCUUGGACAUAAUGGUCCAACAUGGAGACUCUGGGAAGCCAGGUGAUGUAGGACCCCCUGGACUGCCUGGUCCUCGGGGGUUGAACGGCAUGAGCGGUGUGCAUGGCAGGCCGGGUAUUGAGGGUCCACCGGGACAAGAUAUAUCUGACCAGCAUAUUAUUGAUGUGGUAUAAAGAAUGUUGCAAGAGAGGCUGGCAGCAGUAGCAGUGAGCACUAAAAGGGCUGUGCCGUUGAACAACCGGCUAUUCUGGUCCUCCGUGAUUAAUGGUUCCACAAAGACCACAUGAUUUGCCUGGUUCCCGAAGAAUUCCUGGAACGAUGGGAGCUGACAGACGGAUUGGAAACACAUGUCUUAAAGACUCUGCAAGGCCUCAGCUUCUGCCCGUGUGAGAUUGGGCGCAACCGCGAGGGCGCAACCCGAAAGGAGCGAUGGGUGCUCAUCCGCCGAGACCAGCGCGUGGACCUCCGGCGGCAGCAGACCAGGUCAAAUUUCACCUGGUGGUGCCACUCGGAGCUGAGAUUGGUGGACGGAACGAAGCUGAGGCCUUUGUCAAGGAGGGAGCGCUGCGACGAGGUAAGUAGGAAUUUUUUGGACAAAUUUACAAUGUUUUUGUUUGUGUUUGUGGUGGUGUUGUUUGUGCUGGUGUGGCCCCCCCGACAGGUCGGGUUUUUGGGGACGCCAAGUUUAAAUGCUGAAGCCAAUGCUUCAGCAUAUUCCUGGCCGUGGUAUCGGUCCAAUGUAUAUUGUCCCUACCGGUUGCGAACUGGUCGCUGGUGAGUGCUGGGAUGAAAUGGUAGUUUUUGUGAAUAUAACUAUUAAUUUGCCGGAGGUUGUCCUUAUGUUCCUCGGGCAAAUUGUCGGAAAAGUUGAGGAGGGGGAUGAAGAUUUCGGCAUUGGGGAAUGUGAUUUUGGCCGUCUUAAGGGCCUUUUGAAGCUGUUUGAAGGUGGUAGAUUUGGGGUUUUGUUCUUUAUUGUUGAGGCCGAAAGAUAAGACCACCAUUUCAACCUCAGCACUAACUUUGGUUUUUUGCAGGAUGGCCUCUGCGUGGCGGAAGUUGGCCCCCGGGUAGCUGUCCAUCUGGAGGUCCUGGAGACCAGUGGAUGGAAGGAGACUGAUAUUGGAGUCCCCGAUCACCAGGACCUUCCUAUGAACAGACAGAAAAGAACGAGGACCAGCUAGCCCGCGCCUCCGGAGCGGAAGUGUCCGGAACGGGCGUGACUGGAGGAGGAGUGUCUACAAGAGGCACGUCUGGCAGAGGUGCGUCCGGGAGGGGCGCGUCCAGGAGUAAGGAAGUCGGUGUAGGUGGUCUCGGUUGGUCAGGACCAAGUUGGGACCAACUUGGAGGCGUGUCCAGGGGCAGCUGGGACCACCCUGGGUGCACUACCGGGGGUGACGCCGGCUGCUCAGGUAGCGGUGGCGCCUCGGAAAGCGCAGGGGGGACCCCGACCUCGGUCUCGACACGCCCAGGCGGCCCGGGUGGCGGGACCAGGGGAGCCUGAACCGUGGAGCAGUCAGGAGGACUACUACAUGGCUCCAGGGGGCGUGUCGCUCUCUGGGGCCUGGAUGGUGCUGCAGCCAGAGAGGAAGGUGACAACACCGGGAAGGGGACCGGGGUGACAGGUCCCCUAGGACCCGGAACCGGUUCCACCACCGGGGACCAGUCCCCGACCACCGGGUCGGUCAUGGUGGACGCCGUAGCGCGCGCAGGAGCGUGCAGGGUCGGGACCGGCAGCGGCACGGUGGACACCGUGGCGCGUGCAGGAGCGUGCAGGGUUGGAACCGGCAGGGUCCGCGAGGGUUGCACUGGGGGGUGCACUGCAUCCACCACCAUUCGGGUGCUGGACGGGUCCAAGCGGACUGGUGACCCCGUCUGCUGCGAUCGCGCGGGACUCCCCCCCUCGUCCACGGCACGAGCGUCAACACAGAUAGAGAUCACCAGACCCUCGGCCAGCCGAAGUGUCUCGGCGGUCAAUCUGCGUCCCAGGUGUGUCUUGGCCCACGCCGAGGCCACCUGGAAUGGGUCCUGCCAGUUCUGUCCAAUAAAGACACUCAAUUUACUAAUUUCA
Molecule: long non-coding RNA, 2473 nt
Organism: Nerophis ophidion (straightnose pipefish)
Lineage: Eukaryota; Metazoa; Chordata; Actinopteri; Syngnathiformes; Syngnathidae
Exons: 10
Source: RefSeq, a predicted model, not a curated record